AGUGAGGGUUGAACGGCUGAUUG
This 23-nucleotide non-coding RNA is filed under the name Cricetulus griseus (Chinese hamster). Lineage: Eukaryota; Metazoa; Chordata; Mammalia; Rodentia; Cricetidae. The record is from RNAcentral.